GCUCCCCAGGGGCAGGGGAGGCUCUGCGGUCUGAGGGUCCUUCCUGAUGCUUCUACCUCUCAGCUUCAAACCUGGUGAACCAACACUGAAUCUAGUUAAGAUCAGGGGGAACUUUCCAGACGCAUCCGACAGGGAAGGAGAGGAGAGGUUCCCAAGCGGUUGUCUGUCAGCCCCAAACCCGCCUCCUACACUCUGCUCCGUGAUGUGGGGCAGAGGCUGUCGCCCACGGUUCACCUUUGCUAGGGGACUGCUGUUAGGCGCCACCACUGGGAAGCUCUAGAGGAAGGCUGUGAGGCUGGAGGGGGAAGGAGGGGUCGUUCCUUCCUGUCCCUGUCGCGGCUCCCCAGCCUCACUCCUCUUCUCCGGCAGUGGCAGCUGAAUCUGGAAGGCAGUUUCCCACCAUGCGCAGAGCCAGCUUCGUCCUGCCCUGUCUGGGUCUCCCACCCGCAGGGACCCUCCUGCAAACUCGGGCACCUGCGCCAGCUGAACAGCGCCCCCUCCUGGAGGUCUCUAGGUUCGUACACUUUAGCAAUUCCAACCUGUGCCCUUCAUUCUCCCAGCCUUAGGGGUCACUGAUGCCUCCUGCAGUUGCUGCCACUUUGAUAUCUUUCUCUCUUUUAUUUACCUUUCAGUUAUAUUUAUACAACUUUAUACCCUUAUAUAGGUUAUACACCUAUAUAAACAAUUCAUAUUAUUACAUUCUCUUUGUUCAAGUAACUGGUAUGGUUUCUGUCUCCUGAAGGACCCUGGCUGAUUUAAGGACCAAGCCCUCUUCUCCGGCUUCCUGCCUGCACCAAGCCCCACUGAGGAGCAGGGAGGGAGGAAGAAUUCAUUUUAAAUCCAGUUUAAAAUGUUGAUUAUUGCAAGGGUUGCCAAGGCUGGAUUCUCUCCCAUCCUUCCCUCCCUCCCUUCUCUCUCUCUCUCUCCUCUCUCCUCCUUCUCUCUCCCCUCUCUCUCUCCCCUCCCCUCUUUUGUGACUUAAAGAGCAGUUGUGACUAAAGUGACUAUAGGACUUUUUGGGGAAGCAGAAAGGCUAUGGGACUGCCUCAAGUCUCAUCCUGGGGCAAGAAACUAAUGCUCCCUACUGAAGAGUUUUAAAGGAACAAGGGACAAGGUCAAGAUGAAUUCGGAUUUCAUCCCAAGAGUCCUGUUUGUUCAACAUGCCUGUUACAGAAGUUCAAGAUGCUGUCCCCGCCUUCAGAAUUUACAACCUAGUCGGAGAGCUCAAACUCACCCCUCGAGAUGGGUCGUCUCAGCAGGGAUACGGGGUAUAAACAAUCAUCUUGAGGAAGGAACUGCUACUAUCUCUAUUUUAUAGAAGGAAACAGGUGUUGCCCAAGGUCAUGCAGCUGCAAAGAGGCAUGGACCCAGGUCCCUAAAACGUGGGAAAUCUAAUUUGGCAAAAAGAACACUGGAAUAGGAUUCAGAGGCCCGGACCCUGCUGUGCUCCGGCUUCCUGUCCAUCUUGGGAGGGAACUCUGAGGUCAAAGGAGAUAAAGAAACUGAAGCCUAAAGAGGUAUAGUGACUUGCCCAAGCAAAGUCACACAUCUUGUACAUAGAGGAGCUGAUGGGAGAGAUCUGCUUGAAAGGUAGAGAGGGAAUCUGUUCUUGAUACUGAACCCAUCAUCACUUCUGGUAUGUGAAUAAAUCUUGAGAGAGUGGUUUCGAAGUGUGGUCCCUAGACCAGCAGUGUUGGCAUUCCCUGAGAACUUGCUAGAAAUGCAGAUUCUUAGGCCCCAUCCAGGCCUGCUGAGUCAGAAACUCUGCGAGUGGGACCCAGCCCUCUGGCUCAUGCUCUAGUUUGAGAAUCAGAGCU
Molecule: non-coding RNA, 1817 nt
Organism: Microcebus murinus (gray mouse lemur)
Lineage: Eukaryota; Metazoa; Chordata; Mammalia; Primates; Cheirogaleidae
Source: RefSeq, a predicted model, not a curated record